UGCCGUUUCCCUGUUCGGAGUCCUACAGUGACGUCCCAUCUCACCCAGAUGGGAGGCCAUGAGAGCCGGAAUUCUCACGAGCAGCAGCGGCCCUGUGGCCCUCAGCAGAGGGACUGACUGGAAGCAGAUGUGGCACAAGUCUCCCCAUGCGGCUUCACUGUUGACUCUCAGGACAUCUACCCUGGGGACUUCCCGCACCAAGAAGACCCUGAGUCACAUGCUUGCUGCUGUCCCCAUCUAUGAUGGCUGUAAAUUCCAUUUGCCUGCUGCUGUCCAUGAAUGGAAGUCUACCUGGGACCCUCUCCUGACCUGGAGACCCACACAUCCAAAUGCCUACUUGGCAGCUCCCGUGGAUGUUUCGUGAUCAGCAUUCCCAACAGUGAAAUCCUGAAUGCUCUUCCCCAAAUCCACUCCACACACGGCCUUCCCUAUCCCUUGUGGUGGCAACUGAGUCCACUGUGGGUCCAUGGGCCCCCCUUUCUUUGACUCCCCAGCUCCAGUCCCCUAGCAAGACCAGCUGGAUCUGCUCUUUGGAUUGCCAGGAUCUGCCCACGUCUCAGGGCCCUCACUGCCUGGCCCACACAUGAUGCUCAAAGACACUCUCACACAUGUCCAAAUAUUUAAAAGUUAUACAUCAAACCCACAAACUUUAAUUUGAUAAGUAAAAAAUGUUUAAAUAAACAAUUUUAAAAGUA
RNAcentral lists this long non-coding RNA (695 nucleotides) under Homo sapiens (human). RNAcentral describes it as "HSALNT0123048". The record is from RNAcentral. Lineage: Eukaryota; Metazoa; Chordata; Mammalia; Primates; Hominidae.